Molecule: long non-coding RNA, 137 nt
Organism: Octopus sinensis (East Asian common octopus)
Lineage: Eukaryota; Metazoa; Mollusca; Cephalopoda; Octopoda; Octopodidae
Exons: 3
Source: RefSeq, a predicted model, not a curated record
GUUUAUGGAGGAGGGGCUUGGUAAAUGAUAAUAAUGAUUGUAACUUGAUUCUAUCAUUGGAUAACACCAGCCUCUGUCAUCAGGGAAGAAUUUUACUUUUGAGACAUUGAGAGAAUGGAGUUUAAAGUCCAUUCUGU